AAAAAAUUAGUUAAAUUUAACAUUAGUAUGUCAAACUAAAGUUAUUAGUAUUAAUCUAAUAUUUUUUA
This 68-nucleotide transfer RNA is filed under the name Ptychoptera sp. ATB-2011. RNAcentral's name for it is "tRNA-Asp". The record is from RNAcentral. Lineage: Eukaryota; Metazoa; Arthropoda; Insecta; Diptera; Ptychopteridae.